RNAcentral lists this RNase P RNA (366 nucleotides) under Sphingomonas quercus. Its description in RNAcentral is "RNase P RNA component class A". It matches the Rfam family "Bacterial RNase P class A". Rfam says of the family: Ribonuclease P (RNase P) is a ubiquitous endoribonuclease, found in archaea, bacteria and eukarya as well as chloroplasts and mitochondria. Lineage: Bacteria; Pseudomonadati; Pseudomonadota; Alphaproteobacteria; Sphingomonadales; Sphingomonadaceae. The record is from RNAcentral.
CCAGAGGAUCGGGCGGCCGCGGCCCCGGCAACGGGGGCGAGGAAAGUCCGGGCUCCACGGAAGCACGGUGCCGGGUAACGCCCGGCGGGGGCGACCCCAGGGACAGUGCCACAGAAAACAGACCGCCUGGCCUUCGGGCCGGCAAGGGCGAAACGGUGCGGUAAGAGCGCACCGCGGACCCGGUAACGGGAACGGCACGGCAAACCCCACCGGGAGCAAGACCGAAUAGGGAUGGCAUAUGGCCCGUUUCCGGCCCGCCGUCCGGGUUGGUUGCAUGAGGCGGCGCGCGAGCGUCGCCCUAGAGGAAUGGUCGCCCAUCCGGCUUCGGCCGGUGGACAGAACCCGGCUUACAGAUCCUCUGGCGCG